GCGGUUAUACUUCGAUCAGUCUGGCCUGCCCACUGAUAUUUUAAGGGCCGCGGUACUAAACCGUGCUAAGGUAGCAUAAUCAAUAGUCUUUUAAUUGGGGUCUAGAAUGAAGGGUCGGACGAAAGAUUAUGUGUCUUAUAUAAAUAAAGAAUUUUACUUUUAAGUGAAAAGGCUUAAAUGAAAUAAUGGGACGAUAAGACCCUGUGAAGUUUGAAUACAUAUAAAAUAAAAAUUUAACUAUAUAUAUUUUUAUUUUUAUUUGGCAUUAAAUUCCGGGGGGGGCUUAAAAAUUAUAAAAUUUUAAGUGUUCGGGAAAAGAAAAAACCUCCUAGCUAAUUUUUUUUUCCUUUUAACGAAAAAAAAUUAAAAAUACUCCCCAGAUAACACAGUAAUUUUCCUUGAGAGUUCUUUUAUCCAGAGAAAAAUGUGACACCCCUGUUCUAAAAAACAAUUCUUUAAGUGGGGAAACGCUCACUGUAUGGGUGUGCGACAUCUAAAAGAUUACACGAGUGGAAGGGCACCGCGGGUUCAACGAUUAAAGUCCUACGUGAUCUGAGUUUCAGACCGGG
Molecule: ribosomal RNA, 569 nt
Filed under: Troglocaris anophthalmus
Lineage: Eukaryota; Metazoa; Arthropoda; Malacostraca; Decapoda; Atyidae
Description: partial 16S ribosomal RNA
Source: RNAcentral